AGGAGGAACAACUGCAGUGGCGGAGCCAGCUCUGGAGCCCUGGAGUCAGCUCCUGUAGCUCAGGAGCUCUCCGUCUGCAGGGCCUGGAGGCUCCGGGGCGGG
This 102-nucleotide microRNA precursor is filed under the name Canis lupus dingo (dingo). RNAcentral describes it as "mir-8834 microRNA precursor family". It matches the Rfam family "mir-8834 microRNA precursor family". The record is from Rfam by way of RNAcentral. Lineage: Eukaryota; Metazoa; Chordata; Mammalia; Carnivora; Canidae.